RNAcentral lists this ribosomal RNA (254 nucleotides) under uncultured bacterium. RNAcentral describes it as "partial 16S ribosomal RNA". It matches the Rfam family "Bacterial small subunit ribosomal RNA", at positions 524 to 776 of the family's 1533-position model. The record is from RNAcentral.
UACGUAGGGGCCUAGCGUUGUCCGGAUUUAUUGGGCGUAAAAAGCUCGUAGGCGGCUUGGUAAGUCAGGUGUGAAAUCUCCACGCUCAACGUGGAGGGGCCACCCGAAACUGCCAUGGCUUGAGUCCGGUAGGGGAGUGUGGAAUUCCCGGUGUAGCGGUGAAAUGCGCAGAUAUCGGGAGGAACACCCGUAGCGAAGGCGGCACUCUGGGCCGGUACUGACGCUGAGGAGCGAAAGCGUGGGGAGCAAACAGG